RNAcentral lists this ribosomal RNA (266 nucleotides) under uncultured Herbaspirillum sp. RNAcentral describes it as "partial 16S ribosomal RNA". It matches the Rfam family "Bacterial small subunit ribosomal RNA", at positions 355 to 607 of the family's 1533-position model. Lineage: Bacteria; Pseudomonadati; Pseudomonadota; Betaproteobacteria; Burkholderiales; Oxalobacteraceae. The record is from RNAcentral.
UGGGGAAGUUUUGGAUCAAUGGGGGCGAACCCGUACGAUCCAGCAAUGCCGCGUGAGUGAAGAAGGCCUUCGGGUUGUAAAGCUCUUUUGUCAGGGAAGAAACGGUGGUGGCGAAUAACUACUACUAAUGACGGUACCUGAAGAAUAAGCACCGGCUAACUACGUGCCAGCAGCCGCGGUAAUACGUAGGGUGCAAGCGUUAAUCGGAAUUACUGGGCGUAAAGCGUGCGCAGGCGGUUGUGUAAGUCAGAUGUGAAAUCCCGGCU